Molecule: ribosomal RNA, 502 nt
Filed under: uncultured bacterium
Lineage: Bacteria
Description: partial 16S ribosomal RNA
Rfam family: Bacterial small subunit ribosomal RNA
Source: RNAcentral
GAUGAACGCUAGCGGCAGGCCUAACACAUGCAAGUCGAGGGGCAGCACAGAAACAGCAAUGUUUUGGUGGCGACCGGCGGACGGGUGCGUAACGCGUAUGCAACCUACCUUUAACAGGGGGAUAACGGAGAGAAAUUUCCACUAAUACCCCAUAACAUCGAUCAAGGCAUCUUGAUUGGUUGAAAACUCCGGUGGUUAAAGAUGGGCAUGCGUUGUAUUAGGUAGUUGGUGAGGUAAUGGCUCACCAAGCCUACGAUACAUAGGGGGACUGAGAGGUUAGCCCCCCACACUGGUACUGAGACACGGACCAGACUCCUAAGAGAGGCAGCAGUGAGGAAUAUUGGUCAAUGGGGGCAACCCUGAACCAGCCAUGCCGCGUGCAGGAAGACGGCUCUAUGAGUUGUAAACUGCUUUUGUACGAGGGUAAAGUGGGUUACGUGUAACCUUUUGAAAGUACCGUACGAAUAAGGAUCGGCUAACUCCGUGCCAGCCGCCGCCGUAA